Molecule: ribosomal RNA, 497 nt
Filed under: uncultured bacterium
Lineage: Bacteria
Description: partial 16S ribosomal RNA
Rfam family: Bacterial small subunit ribosomal RNA
Source: RNAcentral
GAUGAACGCUGGCGGCGUGCCUAAUACAUGCAAGUCGAGCGAACGGACGAGAAGCUUGCUUCUCUGAUGUUAGCGGCGGACGGGUGAGUAACACGUGGAUAACCUACCUAUAAGACUGGGAUAACUUCGGGAAACCGGCGCUUAUACCGGAUAAUCUUUUGAACCGCAUGGUUCAAAAGUGAAAGACGGCCUUGCUGUCACUUAUAGAUGGAUCCGCGCUGCAUUAGCUAGUUGGUAAGGUAACGGCUUACCAAGGCUACGAUGCAUAGCCGAGCUGAGAGGGUGAUCGGCCACACUGGAACUGAGACACGGUCCAGACUCCUACGGGAGGCAGCAGUAGGGAAUCUUCCGCAAUGGGCGAAAGCCUGACGGAGCAACGCCGCGUGAGUGAUGAAGGUCUUCGGAUCGUAAAACUCUGUUAUUAGGGAAGAACAUAUGUGUAAGUAACUGUGCACAUCUUGACGGUACCUAAUCAGAAAGCCACGGCUAACUACGUG